GACGUAGGGUGCGAGCGUUGUCCGGAUUUACUGGGCGUAAAGGGCGCGUAGGCGGCCACCGCAAGUCGGUUGUGAAAUCUCCGGGCUUAACCCGGAAAGGUCAAUCGAUACUGCGGGGCUAGAGUGCAGAAGGGGCAACUGGAAUUCUCGGUGUAGCGGUGAAAUGCGUAGAUAUCGAGAGGAACACCUGCGGCGAAGGCGGGUUGCUGGGCUGACACUGACGCUGAAGCGCGAAAGCUAGGGGAGCGAACGGG
This 254-nucleotide ribosomal RNA is filed under the name uncultured bacterium. RNAcentral describes it as "partial 16S ribosomal RNA". It matches the Rfam family "Bacterial small subunit ribosomal RNA", at positions 524 to 776 of the family's 1533-position model. The record is from RNAcentral.